Molecule: long non-coding RNA, 347 nt
Organism: Etheostoma cragini (Arkansas darter)
Lineage: Eukaryota; Metazoa; Chordata; Actinopteri; Perciformes; Percidae
Exons: 3
Source: RefSeq, a predicted model, not a curated record
UAUUAUUAUUAUUAUAAUUAUGAGCCCGGAAGAAGCUCCUUCCAGAGAUCACAGUGUUCUGACUUUCUGGGCAACUCUUCCAGCAAUACUAGAGGUGUGAUGCUUUAAUCCCCACCUGUAAUUUAUGCUUUACAUUUGAAAAAUCCCUGCAUGUGAAUGUGCAAAAGAACCUCUCCCACUAAGUUUCAUAAAGUCCUGCUUAUCACUGCUGUGAGGAAUCUGCAGAAUGUUCCAGUCAUGAACACGCCUCUCUGUGAAGCUGGUGUUGCAACUCUGGUGAUGCAUUAAUGAAGAGAUAAUCACAGUGGUAGGGUGCUUUUUAACUGAAUGAAGUGUUUUGCCUUUUA